This 253-nucleotide ribosomal RNA is filed under the name uncultured bacterium. RNAcentral describes it as "partial 16S ribosomal RNA". It matches the Rfam family "Bacterial small subunit ribosomal RNA", at positions 524 to 776 of the family's 1533-position model. The record is from RNAcentral.
UACGUAGGGGGCAAGCGUUGUCCGGAUUUAUUGGGCGUAAAGAGCGUGUAGGCGGCUUUACAGGUCCGUUGUGAAAACUCGAGGCUCAACCUCGAGACGCCGGUGGAAACCGUAAGGCUAGAGUCCGGAAGAGGAGAGUGGAAUUCCUGGUGUAGCGGUGAAAUGCGCAGAUAUCAGGAGGAACACCCGUGGCGAAAGCGGCUCUCUGGGACGGUACUGACGCUAAAGCGCGACAGCAUGGGGAGCAAACGGG